This 460-nucleotide ribosomal RNA is filed under the name uncultured bacterium. RNAcentral's name for it is "partial 16S ribosomal RNA". It matches the Rfam family "Bacterial small subunit ribosomal RNA", at positions 338 to 795 of the family's 1533-position model. The record is from RNAcentral.
CCUACGGGUGGCAGCAGUGAGGAAUAUUGGUCAAUGGACGAGAGUCUGAACCAGCCAAGUAGCGUGAAGGAUGACUGCCCUAUGGGUUGUAAACUUCUUUUAUAAAGGAAUAAAACGAGGCACGUGUGCCUUUUUGCAUGUACUUUAUGAAUAAGGAUCGGCUAACUCCGUGCCAGCAGCCGCGGUAAUACGGAGGAUGCGAGCGUUAUCCGGAUUUAUUGGGUUUAAAGGGAGCGUAGAUGGGUUGGUAAGUCAGUUGUGAAAGUUUGCGGCUCAACCGUAAGAUUGCAAUUGAUACUGGCAGUCUUGAGUACAGGUGAGGUAGGCGGAAUUCGUGGUGUAGCGGUGAAAUGCUUAGAUAUCACGAAGAACCCCGAUUGCGAAGGCAGCUUGCUGGACUGUGACUGACGUUGAUGCUCGAAAGUGUGGGGAUCGAACAGGAUUAGAUACCCUGGUAGUC